GUCAAUUUGUUACUCUGAAGAGAAAGCAUUUGAAGAGAAGUCAAGUUUCCAAUUACAAGAGGAAUUUCACCUGAAACAUAUAAUUAAAUCAGUAAAAAUUAUAAAUAUUUUCCUAGCAAAACCUUAAUUUAUUUGUUGAGCAUAUUAGUGUCCAUUUGAUUUAUUUAUUUUUAAAUAUGCAAGUUUUGUUUAAUUUUAUAGUACUUAUGACAACCCAAAAAUAUUUUAAUUACAAUACUCAAAUUGAUAGUUGAAAUGAUGAUGAAAAUUAGAUGGAAUAAAAUAGUUCACGCUUAAUAUUUUUUUUCAAAUAUAGGAUACAUUAGAGGUGAUUAUGCGUCGGGUUCAGGCCGGCUGACUAAGUCAAAAUUUUAGGCCCGUUUUCCCGAGCCCGAAAUAUGGGCCUAAAAAUUUGUCCAAGCCCAGUCCAAAAGAAAAUUGCUAAGCCGAGCUCGACCCUGCCCUGCCCAUAUUAAAUUUUACAACACCAAAAUAGCAUCAAAAACUUGCAAAAAAUAUAUAUAUUUUAUUAAAAAUAAAAAUAUAUAUUUAAUAUAUAAUUCGGGCUAGACUUAGGCCAAAAAAAUUUUACCCGAAGCCCGGCUCAUUUUAUAAAAUUUCCAAUUUCUGUAGGUAUACUUCCUUCCAAGGAGUUGCUCGACAAUGAUAAAAACUUCAAAUCUUUGCACUUGAAUAAACUAUUUGGAAUUCUACCGGAAAUUUGAUUCCAACUCAAGCCCAACCUUUCUAGUUUUGACAAAUUGCCUAGAGUAGAUGGGAUAACACCAAUGAAGUUGUUAAGGUACAGAGACAAUCUUUGAAGUUUACUAAAGCAACCAAACCAUGAUGGGAUUUCUCCAUUGAAGCUAUUGUUACCAAAGUCCAAAUACUUCAUCCGACGCAAAUUGGUUAACUCAAUGGGUAAAGAGCCAUGGAAACUAUUUUGAUGAAUGUCGAGCCAAGCAAGGAAAGAUAGAUUUCCCAAUUGAGAAGAAAUGGUGCCUGUGAGAUCCAUGCUUGAUAAAUUCAGAGCAGUGACUCUAUGGUGUCUAGAUCCACAUGUGACACCAAUCCAGCUACAAACGGAGGUAGAAGUAGACCAAUUGGUUGUCAAGAAAUUGUAAGGAUCAUGAGUUAUAUGAGAUUUGAGUGCUAGAAAAGCAGAUUGAUCAACGGUGAUGCUAGAAUAUUUUGCAGACAAAAUAACCCCAAAGGUUGCAAAUAGCAGCCCAAACAUAAACGGAGGGAGGAAGACGGUGAUAGUCUCCAAGAGAAAGAGACAAGCAAGGAGGGUGAAGGCAAAGUGGCAAACAAUACAUUAAUUACAUAUUUAUUUUUGCAUAUCUCAUUUUAUUUACUGUCACUAGACACUUUUUAUAUAUAUAAAUUAUUAAAUAUUAAAUUUCAUAUAUAAAAAAAUCCACAUAUUACUUAUUUUAUUAAUACAUAAACAGUAAAUCGUUUAGAUGAUUUCAAGUUAAAAAAAUUAUAUAUUUUAGAUUUUAUAUGGAUUCUUUUUAAGUUCAAUAUUCAAAUUAUUCAGAUUUUCCAUCAUCAAAGUUGAAUAGUUUGUAAUUCAAAUUAUUGCUCUCUUUUUACUUGUACCAAUAUUUCCUAUAUUUUUCUUAUGUUAAAAUAGUCAAAGUAUUAAAGAUAUAAUUAAUUGGAGAGAAGUCAAAAGCUAAUUAAUAAUAUAUAGGGAUUGCAUAAAUGUAACAACAAAAAGAAAAAAAAAAUCAAAGCUACUUCAUGGUUGUAUUUUGUGAGGCUGUGGAAGUUGAAAGAGUAAUAAUUUUAAGCUGUCUAAGGAAAAUAUUAAACUAAAACUUUAGUAGAGUUUAAUUAUAUAUAUUAUAUUUUAAUUUUUUAAUAAAAGUACAUAUUUUAAAUCAAAAAUAUUUUAAUCAAAUCAUCUGUAUUAGUUUUGAAGUUCAGGAUUAUAUAUAUAACAUAUAUAUUGAUUGAGUGUAUAACUUCAACUUCAAAAAGAUAUUUUAAUCAAUCAAUUUUAUUAGUUUUCGAGUUUAGGCUUAUAUAUAAUAUAUAUGUCGAGUUAGAAAUACUACAAAAGGUUGACAUUUUUUAAAAGUAUGAUAAUUUGAAUAGAAGUAACAUAUGCUAAUGUAGAGUAAUUGUUCCAUAUAAUCCUUUUUAUGAUGAAAUGAUUGCUUCAUAACUUCUUACACUUAGACAUAAUAAUGAGGUUUUAAUCUUUUAAGGUAACUUUUAUUUUAUUUACUUAAAAAAUUGCAUAAAUUUAAUAAAAAAAAGAAGAAUAAAAGAAACAUGAAAUUAUACCUGUCAAUUUGUUAUUGCUAAGAUGAAGAAAUUGGAGAGAAGUCAAUUUUUCAAUAACAAGAGGAAUUUCACCUGAAACGUAUAAUUAAAUCGGUCAAAAUUUGCAAAUAUUUUCCUACCAAACCCUUAAUUUAUUUGUUGAGCAUAUUAACGUUUGUUUCAUUUACCUAUUUUUAAAUAUGCAAGUUUAGUUUAGUCUUAUAGUACUUAUGAUAACCCAAAAAUAUUUUAAUUAUAAUACUCAAAUUAACAAUAAAAUUAAAAAAAUAUUUAUCUUUGUGCUAGAAAAAAAACACCGCAUAGAUCAUAAAAAGGAAAAACUAAAACAUCCAAAAGAAUAUGUCAAACACUAAACACAAAAUUCAUAGUUGUAGAGGAGAAUUAGAUACAUUGGUCCCAUAAUAUGUCACUCAAAAUCUCAAAUUCAUCCAACAAAAAGAAAUCAUCACUUUAGUUAAUUAAAUCAAGAACAAAUAAAGUUAUGGAUGAACAAAUAUGGGAAGCAAAGAAAUGUGAUGGAUCAAAAGGGACGGAUAAGCUAAUUUCUGCCAUAAGGUAGAUGGUGAACUUAGGAUGUGGAGUUUCAAUAAAUACCUAAAAAUACCUAAACUUUUGGCAAUUCAAAUAGAUUAUACUAAUUUUUAAUUACUUAAAAAUAUUGCAUAAAUUUAAUAACAAAAAGGAGAAUAAAAGAAACAUGAAAUUAUACCUGUCAAUUUGUUAUUGUCAAGAAAAAGCUCUCGAAGAGAAGUCAAGUUUCCAAUAACAAGAGGAAUUUUACCUGAAACAUAUAAUUAAAUCAAUAAAUAUAUAAUUAUUUUUAUUAAUUAUUUUAAGAGUUUAAUAAGGCAAAUCUAAAAGGUAGAAGAAAUAGCUAAUUAGAAGUAGUGUGUGAUUCAAAAGGGUAUAAAGUAGGUCCAAAUUAAAAAUCAAAUUUUAAAAUAAUUUAAUGUAAAAUUUAACUCUUUUCUUAUCACCAAAUAAAUUUACUUUCAGAGAAAUUACAAGUUUUAAUAAAAUAGUUGAAAUAAGUGACUGUUUAUGACUAGGUGAAAAUUAGAUGAAAAAAACAUAUAAUUAAUAAUUUAUAUAUCUAUUUCUCUCAUACUUGAACUAUGGUCGAGCAAAAAUUAAUAAAAAAAUCAAACGGAUAGAAAUAGCUUAGUUAGAAGUUUGCAUAUCUCAUUUUAUUUACUCUCACUAGACAUUUAAUCUUUUAAGGUAACUUUUAUUUUAUUUACUUAAAAAAUUGCAUAAAUUUAAUUAAAAAAAAGGAGAGUAAAAGAAACAUGGAAUUAUAUUGUCAAUUUGUUAUAGCUAAGAUAAAGUGAUUGGAGAGAAGUUAAGUUUCCAAUAACAAGAGGAAUUUCACUUGAAACGUAUAAUUAAAUCGGUCAAAAUUUGCAAAUAUUUUCCUACCAAGCCCUUAAUUUAUUUGUUGAGCAUAUUAGUGUCUGUUUCAUUUACCUAUUUUUAAAUAUGCAAAUUUAGUUUAGUCUUAUAGUAAUAUGAGUAAUAUUGGGCUCCAACCACAGUACACGGUAAAAAAUGAAAGCCAGAAAAAUGCAAGACUGCAUGUCUACACCAUAUUAUUUUUAUAAAUAAAAGAGUAAUUUCUCUAUAUAAAUAAAUGAGUUGGGUUGGAUUUCAUUUAAUUGAAAAUGAGUUGGAUUGGCUGAUUAUUUGAUUUUGGGUUAAAUGAAAAUCAACUUCUGCCUGGAUGUAGGUAUUGGGUUUAAUGUAACUUAUAUAAAGAGUUUAGUAUGUCGCUUUAUUUGACUUAUUUGGUUUGGACACUCAAAUUUGAAAUUGAUCAAUUAAACCAAUAGAAAUGAGUCUCAACUAAAUAAAGUGAAAACUCAACUAAAUAGAAUUGGAUUAAAGUGAUUCAAUUAAUCAAGUUUUCACAUACUUAUAACCAUCGUGAUUCAUUCAUAUUAUUAUUCUCAUACUAUAUUCAUGUUAAGUUGAUGUAUUUGGAAAGAUCGAAGCUUUUUUCUAUUUUAGGGUGUCUCUUGGAGCACAGGUGAGAUUAUUAAGAUAUUAUAUAUUUUGGAGUGUGAAAUUUAUUGAAUCAUUUAGAAUAAGAAUCAAAUUGAUAGAAUGUGUAAGUAUUAAGAAAUAAACGUGUUAUUAUUCUAGUUGGAAAAGGCAACAUCAUCACUUCCGUUAACUAUUUAACGGAGAGUGACCAAAAUAGAAACAAUCUAAAGUGUGAGUGACCAAAAUAGAAAUAAUAUAAAAUGUAAGUGACUAAAUAAAAAAAAUUCAUAGUUGGGUGACUAAUUCUAUAGUAAUUUACCCUAGAUGGUAGAAGCAAUUAGGAUUAAUUCCACCAAACAUCUCAAACUAUUACUCAUAUUUUAAAUUGAACCCUAAACUUUUACACAUUCUAAUUAAAUUACUCAAAUAGAAUGUGAUAAUGUAUUAUGCUAUUAUUCAUCGAUAGUGCAUAGAAUUUAUGUACUAACAAUGCAUCAAAUAUUCUCAUUAAAAGAAAAUGUAUAAAAUAAGUUUUAUACCAUCUAUAAUUUGUAAAAAAAAAAUUAUCCAAUAAAAAAUAUAAAAAUACAUCUAUAAUUUCACAAAAAGAAUUACAUAUCUAUAAUAUCUUUUUAUAAAUUCAAUUCCAAAUCUCCUGUAAUAAAUCAACCUCACAAAUCUGAUUGAGGUUAAAAAGAAAGAAUGCAUGUAUUGUGCAAUUAAAACCAUGAUCCAUAUUCAGUUCUAAAGUAUUGAACAUAUAAUUUUGCAUUAUUUUACCUCCCUUGAUUCUUCACAAACUCUUGGGGAAUAAAGACAGUCUUUACAAACCAGUGCACCUCUCAUAAACAGAUCAGGGACAAUUGCCAUGAGAGAGGACCUAAGAAAACAUAAUACAAACUACAUAACAUACAAUCAAGCACCCACACAAAAUGUUUAUUAAACAGCUACAGAAAAAGGCCUGCAUACCACCAAGCAAUGAGGUUUUCUGUUCUGUUUGCAACUUGUUGAACUCGCCCAAGUGUUGCCUUCUCUACCUUUUUGCAAAUCUUUGUCGGACUCGCUCCACGAUCCUAAUCAACCACCAUGGUUUUCCAGUCGUGAAUACAAUGUAUGCCAUGCUCAUUCCCAGCACCAACCCACAUCCAUACCCCAUCAAUAUUGAAAAUUUCCAAUUCAAUUCAUCACCAUCAUCAUCUCUAUCAAAUUUGGCUGGAGUUUCCUCAUCAGUACCACAGUUUUUUGAUAAUGGAAAACCACAUAAAUCCGAAUUUCCCAUGUAGGAAUCUUUAGUAAAAGUAUCAAAUUGUUUGCCUUGAGGAAUGGGUCCCUUGAGAUUAUUUUGAGAAAGGUUUAACACCUCUAAGAAUCCAAGAUUUUUUAACUCUGUUGGAAUUCUUCCUUCCAGCUUAUUUGAUGAGAGAUCUAAUGAUUCAAGCUCUGACAAAUUACCUAAAGAUGAUGGGAUAGGACCUAUUAAACAGUUAUGGGAGAGGUUUAGGACAAGAAGUAAAUGAAGCUCACCAAGUAUUUUUGGAAUUUCUCCCCUAAAUUGGUUACUAGAAAGGUCAAUAACCGUCCAAAUGGAUAAUAGUGAUUCAAACUUUAUUUCCAGCCCUUUUGCUGUAACAGAUAAACCAGAAGCAUAAUCCACCCAAAAUACACCAAAUGCAUCUUUCGUGGGCUUUACUUCUCUCAUGUAAUUUGGUUCAACAUUCUUUCCAUACUCAUCUCUAAUGGCAUGCAUAUGCUCAAAAAAAGGAGUAGGUAAGUAGCCACUAAAAUUAUUGUGAUAAAGAUCAAUGAUUCGCAAUUUAGUUAAAGAAACUGUAAUAUCAAAGCUCUCUAUUUGGCCGUAAAAUCUAUUCGACCUCAAGAUAAGAACUUGCAGCUGAUCCAAAUUUCCUAACCAACUUGGGAAAGUGUCAUUCAAAUUGUUGUUUCCAACAUUGAGAAGAUUUAAACCUUUGCAAUUACCCAAGGAUCGUGGUAGUGACCCUUCUAAUUCAUUGUUGUUGAUGCCUAAACUUCUCAACAUGCAACCUUUAGCAAAAUUUUCUGGUAUUUGACCAUGAAAAUUAUUAUUCCCUAGAUCAACUGCUGUGAGAGAAGAACUCAUGUUUCCGAUGCACUUUGGAAUUGUUCCCUCCAAAUUAUUCUCAUCUAAAGCCAUAACCUUAAGGGAAGUCAAAUUGCAUACUGAAGAAGGGAUUUCUCCAAUUAAGUUAUUAGUUGAAACUGCAUACCAUUGCAAUAAAGGUGGUGGUGUUGGAAUUCGACCUUAGAGAUAAAAUUGAAAAUGAGAUAUUAGGAGUUUGAAGAUUCUUUGGAAUAUAAAUUAUAAAAUAACUAUAUUUAUGAUGUAUUACAUGCUUGAUUAAUUUACUACACUACUUCUAACCAUUUUUACAUGCAUCACAACAACCUUUAAGUUGUAAUCUAUUGAAGGAAACUACUACUAUCUUCCAGAGAAACUUAAAAGUAAAAAGGGAUUGCAUAAAUGUAUAAAAAUAGAAGGAAAAAAAAUAUCAAACUAUACUUAAUAGUUUAUUAUAAAAGAGAUAACCAUUUAAUAUCUAACUUAUAUUUCAUUUUUUUAGUGUUUAUUAUUAUUUUUUGUACUUUUAUGUAUAUUUUAUAAUUUAUUAUUGGGGUUCACGGUUGUUAUUGUCAAGAAUAUCUUGAAUCUAUUAUAGAUGUAGAUUAUAAAUUGUAGACAAAUAUUUUGGUUGGGUUAGCAAAGCUAAAAAAGUUGAGAAUAAUAAAUUUUUAAAAUUUUAAAUUUAAGGUGAAAAAUUAAAUCCUAAUUGUUUAAAUAUCUAUAUGUAAUUAGUGAAUAAGAAUUGCGCAGAAUGGCGUAAAAGAAAAAUAAAAUGAAAGAAUUUAAAAUAUAAUUUUUAAGUUUAUAUCACGUGUCCUAUUAUAAUUGAAACUUAUUAUGGAAUUCACUAUUACUGACUUGAAGCUCGAGUAGGUUCAAGUUAUUGACCCACAACCCAAGUAGACUUAAAGGAAUUUGGGUCGGGCCCCACAAAGUGGGCAUAUUGGAGUUCGCACAUCCAAUUCGUAGGUAUGCUAGAGCUCGUAGGCCUAGCUUACAAGACAAGCCCGCACAUUGAGUUCACACGUCUCUAUAUGAUCGCAAGGAGAGGUGCUAAGUCAAGCACGUGGUCCAUGAACAUGUGUUAAGUCUAGAACAAGAUACGUGUUAACAUACAUGAAGCUUGUCUAAGACGUCAUUUCAGUGAGUGUGGUGCAAUAAGUGUGGUCAAACUUUCGAUUGACCAUAGUAGACACAAAGAGAAAAUACUCAACAAUUUGGUGCAGUGAGUGUGGUCAAACUUUCGAUUGACAGAUUUUUAGCUUGUAACAAUCAAAAUAGCUCACCCAAAUUAAAAUUUCCCCAUCAAUGUUUUGUCAGGAUAAGUUGCUAGUAUUAUAUUGUUGCUAGUAUUAUACAAAACAAAAAGUCAAAAAGUGAGAGAAAACCCAGUCAUCAGCACACCAAAACUCGUUAAGUCAAUCAUAGUUGCUAGUAUUAUAUUGUAUCUUCUUACAUCGAGAGAUAAGGUAGGUGAGAAAGGGAGAUAAAAGACGGUGAGCUUGGAUGGGACAUUAAGGGGGAAGAGAGGAAAAAAUGUUAUGUGUCUAAUUAUUUCUAGUGUUUGAACCGUUUUGAGUCAUAUCUAUCUUGGAACUCAUACCGUCCUAAGCCUUAGAACAUUACAAGCUUAGAAGACCAAUGUGUUUCCUAUGCAAUAAUAUCAACUAUGGCUUAGCAACAACUAAAUCAAGACAUAAACAAUAAGGCAAAUCUAAAAGGUAAAAAGGAAUAGCUAAUUAAAAGUAGUGUGUGAUUCAAAAGGUAGACGGUGAACUUAGGAUGUGGAGUUCCAAUAAAUACCUAAACUUUUGGCAAUUCAAAUAGUUUCUUUAUAAAAGUUUGUAAAUAUUUGAGUCUUAUUCGUAUUAAGAAAUACAUAAUUUUAAGCGGUCUAAUAAUGAAAAUAUUAUAUUAAGCUUUAGUAGAGUUUAAUUAUAUAUAUUAUAAGAAUAGUCUUCCGUGUAUUUAUCCAUUUAAUUUAAUUUUUUUAUUUUGGUCCCUUGGAACGGUUGGAACGGUGCGUUUAGGGGGUAUGUGGAUAAUUUCCUAGUUGGUCCCUGUCCAUUUUCACGCAUUUAAUUUUAGUCCUUUAUUCUGUUUUAUUGUUUAAUUUAUUUAUUUUAUUAUGAUUUAUACUUUUAAUUUCACUUAAAUUUUGAUUCAGUCCCUUAUUUAUUUAAUUUCAGCCUUUCAUGAAUUUUAUUUAUUUAUUACUUCUUUAUUUUCAUAUACUUAAAAAUUGGAUUGUUUACAUUCUUUUAUUUGUGCAUUUUUUUGCUCAUUUAUUUUAUUUACUUAAAAAGAUUGCAUAAAUUUAAUAACAAAAAGGAGAAUAAAAGAAAUGAAAUUAUACCUGUCAAUUUGUUACUCUGAAGAGAAAGCAUUUGAAGAGAAGUCAAGUUUCCAAUUACAAGAGGAAUUUCACCUGAAACAUAUAAUUAAAUCAGUAAAAAUUAUAAAUAUUUUCCUAGCAAAACCUUAAUUUAUUUGUUGAGCAUAUUAGUGUCCAUUUGAUUUAUUUAUUUUUAAAUAUGCAAGUUUUGUUUAAUUUUAUAGUACUUAUGACAACCCAAAAAUAUUUUAAUUACAAUACUCAAAUUGAUAGUUGAAAUGAUGAUGAAAAUUAGAUGGAAUAAAAUAGUUCACGCUUAAUAUUUUUUUUCAAAUAUAGGAUACAUUAGAGGUGAUUAUGGGUCGGGUUCGGGUCGGCUGACUAAGUCAAAAUUUUAGGCCCGUUUUCCCGAGCCCGAAAUAUGGGCCUAAAAAUUUGUCCAAGCCCAGCCCAAAAGAAAAUUGCUAAGCCGAGCCCGACCCUGCCUUGCCCAUAUUAAAUUUUACAACACCAAAAUAGCAUCAAAAACUUGCAAAAAAUAUAUAUAUUUUAUUAAAAAUAAAAAUAUAUAUUUAAUAU
This 9296-nucleotide long non-coding RNA is filed under the name Gossypium barbadense (sea-island cotton). RNAcentral's name for it is "long non-coding RNA (GBAR_LNC023273)". Lineage: Eukaryota; Viridiplantae; Streptophyta; Magnoliopsida; Malvales; Malvaceae. The record is from RNAcentral.